RNAcentral lists this ribosomal RNA (487 nucleotides) under uncultured bacterium. RNAcentral's name for it is "SSU rRNA". It matches the Rfam family "Bacterial small subunit ribosomal RNA", at positions 26 to 523 of the family's 1533-position model. The record is from RNAcentral.
AGGACGAACGCUGGCGGCGUGCUUAACACAUGCAAGUCGAACGAGAUCCAAGCAGUGGCAACACUGUGGAAGAUCUAGUGGCGAACGGGUGAGUAACACGUGAGCAACCUGCCCCGAAGAUCGGGAUAACAGCGGGAAACCGCUGCUAAUACCGGAUGCCCCCAUCGGACUGCAUGGUCUGAUGAGGAAAGGAUUCUGCUUCGGGAGGGACUCGCGGCCUAUCAGCUUGUUGGUGGGGUAACGGCCUACCAAGGCAACGACGGGUAGCUGGUCUGAGAGGACGAUCAGCCACACUGGGACUGAGACACGGCCCAGACUCCUACGGGAGGCAGCAGUGGGGAAUCUUGCGCAAUGGGCGAAAGCCUGACGCAGCAACGCCGCGUGAGGGAUGAAGGUCUUCGGGUUGUAAACCUCUUUCAAGCAGGGACGAUAAUGACGGUACCUGCAGAAGAAGCUCCGGCCAACUACGUGCCAGCAGCCGCGGUAA